RNAcentral lists this ribosomal RNA (253 nucleotides) under uncultured bacterium. Its description in RNAcentral is "partial 16S ribosomal RNA". It matches the Rfam family "Bacterial small subunit ribosomal RNA", at positions 524 to 776 of the family's 1533-position model. The record is from RNAcentral.
UACGUAGGGGGCUAGCGUUGUCCGGAAUCAUUGGGCGUAAAGAGCGUGUAGGCGGCUCGGUAAGUCCGCUGUGAAAGUCCAGGGCUCAACCCUGGAAUGCCAGUGGAAACUGUCGAGCUAGAGUCCGGAAGGGGCGAGUGGAAUUCCUGGUGUAGCGGUGAAAUGCGCAGAUAUCAGGAGGAACACCAAUGGCGAAGGCAGCUCGCUGGGACGUGACUGACGCUGAGACGCGAAAGCGUGGGGAGCAAACAGG